RNAcentral lists this ribosomal RNA (303 nucleotides) under uncultured bacterium. Its description in RNAcentral is "bacterial SSU rRNA". It matches the Rfam family "Bacterial small subunit ribosomal RNA", at positions 500 to 802 of the family's 1533-position model. The record is from RNAcentral.
ACUCUGUGCCAGCAGCCGCGGUAAUACAGAGGGUGCAAGCGUUAAUCGGAAUCACUGGGCGUAAAGCGCACGUAGGUGGAUAUUUAAGUCGGAUAUGAAAGCCCUAGGCUUAACCUAGGAACUGCAUUCGAUACUGGAUAUCUAGAGUAUAGGAGAGGGAAGUGGAAUUUCAGGUGUAGCGGUGAAAUGCGUAGAUAUCUGAAGGAACAUCAGUGGCGAAGGCGACUUCCUGGACUAAUACUGACACUGAGGAGCGAAAGCGUGGGGAGCAAACAGGAUUAGAUACCCCAGUAGUCCAAGCCG